Molecule: ribosomal RNA, 429 nt
Filed under: Actinomycetes bacterium
Lineage: Bacteria; Bacillati; Actinomycetota; Actinomycetes
Description: Actinobacteria bacterium partial 16S ribosomal RNA
Rfam family: Bacterial small subunit ribosomal RNA
Source: RNAcentral
UAGGGAAUCUUCCGCAAUGGGCGAAAGCCUGACGGAGCAACGCCGCGUGAGUGAUGAAGGUCUUCGGAUCGUAAAACUCUGUUAUUAGGGAAGAACAAAUGUGUAAGUAACUAUGCACGUCUUGACGGUACCUAAUCAGAAAGCCACGGCUAACUACGUGCCAGCAGCCGCGGUAAUACGUAGGUGGCAAGCGUUAUCCGGAAUUAUUGGGCGUAAAGCGCGCGUAGGCGGUUUUUUAAGUCUGAUGUGAAAGCCCACGGCUCAACCGUGGAGGGUCAUUGGGAACUGGAAAACUUGAGUGCAGAAGAGGAAAGUGGAAUUCCAUGUGUAGCGGUGAAAUGCGCAGGGAUAUGGAGGAACACCAGUGGCGAAGGCGACUUUCUGGUCUGUAACUGACGCUGAUGUGCGAAAGCGUGGGGAUCAAACAGG